AGAAUAAAGAAAACACAUUCAAAACCCUACACCUAAACACACUAUAAAUAACUAAAUAUAAAAACUUAAUGGAUCCCAGAGGCUACACCCAUAAUCAGCCGCAACUAUUCACGUUUUCAAGGAUACGAUAAACAAACACAUAGCAUAAUCAUCCGAAUAAGACCUACAUCACCAUAACCAUCCUAACACCUAGAACCCACAACAUCAGCCGCAUUAGCCAUCACCCUAACACAACAAUCAGCCGUAGACUAAACACCUAGAAUACACAAAAAAACUUCAGCCGCAAUAGCAUUCACGUAGAUACCAAUCAGCCGCAAUAGCAACUCCUCUUAAAAAAUAAAAAUAAAACGCACCACCUCUGAGGCACGACAAAAAAGCCAAAACAACCAAAAACAAUGUAACAAAAAGAAAAAACAACCACCCAUCGCAAAUGGCCAUGGGAUAACCUUCAACCAAACAACCAUGAAAACACCACCCGUUAUAGCUCCAUCAGUGAAGUAACAACUUAAAAACUCAACCUUUAAACACCAUUUGGCUUUACCUUCAAGCUCCCAUAACCACCACCACAAAAACUCCAUUAAAACCAGCUCAAAAACACCAUGAAACAUCCCUGAAAAUAGCUUCAACCUUCACCCCAAAACAGCCACGUAACCACCGCUGUUGAGACGUAUCGGAGUAGAGAGGUCUGUUCGAGGUUGCCGGCCCCGGGUUCGAAAGUAUGAUUUGAGCACUGUCACGUCUGUUUUCUUCUUAAUAAAUUGCAAGAUGCUUAAAGAACUUAGGGUCGUUUUUUGUGCCAGAUUUUCUUGAUCUAUCACUAAGCCUGCAAAGCCUAAAAAUAUUUGACUUGAAGAUUUCUGUUAGACGUAUUUCAUGAGCCCUUUGCCUAUUGCGGAAUUCUCCCAGCCUUUAUGAACUUGACAUAGAUGAAGGUGUGAGGGUUGAUGAGACAGUGUAUGAGAGAACAAAACUGUUUGAUUACUCGUCGAAGGCAGAAAACGAAUUGAGAGACCCUCUGAGGAUGAUUAUAACAAUAAGGUUAGGGAAAUUCAAGGGGGCAACUACUGAAAUGUACCUAAUACAAGUCAUCCUUGCCCAUUCUUGGAACCUUGAGAGAAUGAUCAUUGAACAGAUUGGGGAAAGUAAUGCCACAAGGUGUAAUGAAACUUUGAAGAAGCUGAUAAGCUAUCCUCGAGCAUCACCAAAAGCAAAAAUUAAGUACUUAGACUGAUACGAGUGGCGUAUUAUGAGUUAUCGGACAAGUGCAUUGAUUUCAUAUUUUGACAGAAUAUUGAAUCUGCAAAUCUAUCAUAUGAUCUAAUUAACAGAGUCUCUUUGUCU
Molecule: long non-coding RNA, 1341 nt
Organism: Lycium barbarum (goji berry)
Lineage: Eukaryota; Viridiplantae; Streptophyta; Magnoliopsida; Solanales; Solanaceae
Exons: 3
Source: RefSeq, a predicted model, not a curated record